GCAAGUGGAAGAUAAGUCAAGAUUGCAACGUCCUGUUGCUGACUUAUCCAACCUACAUUAUGUAGG
RNAcentral lists this small RNA (66 nucleotides) under Kurthia sp. 11kri321. RNAcentral describes it as "Bacillaceae-1 RNA". It matches the Rfam family "Bacillaceae-1 RNA". Lineage: Bacteria; Bacillati; Bacillota; Bacilli; Caryophanales; Caryophanaceae. The record is from Rfam by way of RNAcentral.